UGAGUAACACGUGAGUGACCUGCCUUUUAGACUGGAACAACUUACCGAAAGGUGAGCUAAUGCCGGAUGAGUUAUAUAAGUGCAUGUUUAUAUAGGAAAAGUUGGGGAGACCUGACGCUGAAAGAUGGACUCGCGUCCCAUUAGCUAGUUGGUAGGGUAAUGGCCUACCAAGGCGACGAUGGGUAGCCGGCCUGAGAGGGUGGCCGGCCACACUGGGACCGAGACACGGCCCAGACUCCUACGGAAGGCAGCAG
RNAcentral lists this ribosomal RNA (254 nucleotides) under uncultured bacterium. RNAcentral's name for it is "partial 16S ribosomal RNA". It matches the Rfam family "Bacterial small subunit ribosomal RNA", at positions 107 to 354 of the family's 1533-position model. The record is from RNAcentral.